CAGAACACCCUUUAGAUUGAAUAAAGACAAAUCACCUAAACCCUCCAGUCCUGAAAGAAAAACCGCAUGUUAGUUUCAAAAUGACUCAUGUAAACUGUGUUCAUACUAAGUCCUACUCCAUUCAACGCUAUAUUAGAAUAUAUAAGACGCGGAAAUAUUUAAUAGUGUUUACCAACCUGUGUUUUCAAACACAAUCAAAAGAAAAUCAUCGACAUUUCGUCUCUCAAGUCUACUUGGUCAAAUAGAGCACAACAAUGGCUGAACACAUCCGUAAAGGCGAUUCGGGAGCAGGUCCGGUAACUAGAAGCCAGACGCAGUCAAGUACACACACAGAUUUCCAAAAAGGAUCGAUGAAUGCCGAUGAUAAGAAAGUAUGGAUAUCAAACACCGAACGUAUUGUACAAGAUUUUCAAUGGAACCUUGGCGACGUUAUGAUGAAAUUAUAUCAAGCCCACAUUAUAGACUUGAAUGAUAAAACUCGAAUCGAAAGGACAACUAAAGACAAACACGAAGCAGAUGCAGCAAGAGACUUAGUGGAUCUUCUUGCAAAUCGUGGUCCUAAUGUCCUCAGAAGAAUUAUAAACGCCUUGGCACCAACAUAUAACAUAGCAAAAGUCCUAGAAGAUGCAUUAAACAGUUAAAAUUUACAAUUUUCUGUGUCAUGGCUGAUCAUUGUAUAUUUAUCAUUAGUAUUUUGUAUAUCAGUCAAAUCACGAUCUUUUCAAUUUUGUGACAGGCAUUGCGUCAUUUUAGUAAUUUUUUUAUAUUGUAAUCUAAAACUGAAUGAACUAUGUAAAUUAUUUGGAAUGAAUAUAAAUGUAUCACUUUG
This is a long non-coding RNA of Patella vulgata (common limpet), 829 nucleotides long. RefSeq lists it as uncharacterized. The record is from RefSeq and is a predicted model, not a curated record. Lineage: Eukaryota; Metazoa; Mollusca; Gastropoda; Patellidae. The transcript is spliced from 4 exons.